UAUGUGAUCGUCUCUCGCAUAUCAAUAAGCGGAGGAAAAGAAACUAACAAGGAUUCCCCUAGUAACGGCGAGUGAAGCGGGAAGAGCUCAAAUUUGAAAUCUUAAAGGGUUUCCCUUUACGAAUUGUAGUUUAAAGAAGUGUUUUCUGUUGAGGUUUUGGUAAAAGUUCCUUGGAAUAGGACAUCAUAGAGGGUGAGAAUCCCGUAUUUGACCUUUACUUUCAACUUUGUGAUACACUUUCAAAGAGUCGGAUUGUUUGGGAAUGCAGUCCAAAAUGGGUGGUAAAUUUCAUCUAAAGCUAAAUAUUGGCGAGAGACCGAUAGCGAACAAGUACCGUGAGGGAAAGAUGAAAAGAACUUUGAAAAGGAGAGUUAAACAGUACGUGAAAUUGUCAAAAGGGAAGCGUUUGACACCAGUGUUGUUUUUCUGAAAAUCAAUUAAAGAACUGUUUAUGCUAAGCUGUUUAGACUUUAUCAGCUAUCUGUUUAGUUUUGAGCUUUUCUUUAAUGCACUUUUCAGUUAACAAGUCAACAUCAAUUUCUUUUGCUGUAAAAAAGCUUUGAGGAAGGUGGCUUGAGAUUCGUCUUAAGUGUUUAUAGCCUCUUGCCUAUGCAGUCGGAGAGAUUGAGGUCUGCAGCGUAGAUCCUUCGGGGUUAAAUGCAUUUGUGCUAAGUUAUAGCAUUUUAUAGACAACUUGUUGACUAUGAUUUGUCUUGUAGCUUACUCGCUUAUGUUAUUUUACCUACGCUUAGGAUGUUGAGCGCAUGUCUCUCUCU
This 776-nucleotide ribosomal RNA is filed under the name uncultured Neocallimastigales. RNAcentral describes it as "partial large subunit ribosomal RNA". It matches the Rfam family "Eukaryotic large subunit ribosomal RNA", at positions 24 to 616 of the family's 3401-position model. Lineage: Eukaryota; Fungi; Neocallimastigomycota; Neocallimastigomycetes; Neocallimastigales. The record is from RNAcentral.